GACGAACGCUGGCGGCGUGCUUAACACAUGCAAGUCGAACGGAAAGGCCCUGCUUUUGUGGGGUGCUCGAGUGGCGAACGGGUGAGUAACACGUGAGUAACCUGCCCUUGACUUUGGUAUAACUUCAGGAAACUGGGGCUAAUACCGGAUAGGAGCUCCUGCUGCAUGGUGGGGGUUGGAAAGUUUCGGCGGUUGGGGAUGGACUCGCGGCUUAUCAGCUUGUUGGUGGGGUAGUGGCUUACCAAGGCUUUGACGGGUAGCCGGCCUGAGAGGGUGACCGGCCACAUUGGGACUGAGAUACGGCCCAGAAUCCUACGGGAGGCAGCAGUGGGGAAUAUUGCACAAUGGGCGGAAGCCUGAUGCAGCAACGACGCGUGCGGGAUGACGGCCUUCGGGUUGUAAACCGCUUUCGCCUGUGACGAAGCGUGAGUGACGGUAAUGGGUAAAGAAGCACCGGCUAACUAUGUG
Molecule: ribosomal RNA, 468 nt
Filed under: uncultured bacterium
Lineage: Bacteria
Description: partial 16S ribosomal RNA
Rfam family: Bacterial small subunit ribosomal RNA
Source: RNAcentral